Molecule: long non-coding RNA, 1775 nt
Organism: Mytilus californianus (California mussel)
Lineage: Eukaryota; Metazoa; Mollusca; Bivalvia; Mytilida; Mytilidae
Exons: 2
Source: RefSeq, a predicted model, not a curated record
GGGGGGGGGGGGGGGUAAAAAGAAAUUGUGGGGGGCCAAUUUUUUCUCAUUUCAGAUUUCAGAAAUUAAAAAGAAUUAUUCUUCAAAUAUUUUUUUUUUUUCAAAUUUCAAAUAUUGAAAAAUUUCAAGAAGUAAUCUUUAAUUGCACAGUAUGGCGUAUUAGAUUUGUAAAAUCUUUGAUCACAUUUAUUUAUUUGUCAUGCCGAAUCUAACAGUGUAUUUAGAUUUUUAAUUUUUGGUCCAGUUUUCAAAUUGGUCUACAUUAAGGUCAAAAGGGUCCAAAAUUAAACUUUGUUUGAUUUCAUCAAAAAUUGAAUUAUUGGGGUUCUUUGAUAUUCCAAAUCUAACGGUGUAUUUAGAUUUUUAAUUUUGGGUCCUGUUUUUUAAAUUGGUCUACAUUAAGGUCCAAAGGGUCCAAAAUUAAACUUAGUUUGAUUUUAACAAAAAUUGAAUUCUUGGGGUUCUUUGAUAUGCUGAAUCUAAACAUGUGUUUAGAUUUUUGAUUAUGGGCCCAGUUUUCAAGUUGGUCCAAGAUAGGGUCCAGGAUUUAAACUUUGUUUGAUUUCAACAAAAAUUGAAUAUAUGGGGUUCUUUGAUAUGCUGAAUCUAAACAUGUAUUUAGAUUUUUGAUUAUGGGCCCAGUUUUCAAGUUGGUCCAAAUUGGGGUCCAAAAUGAAACUUUGUUUGAUUUCAACAAAAAUUGAAUAUAUGAGGUUCUUUGAUAUGCUGAAUCUAACCAUGUAUUUAGAUUUUUUAUUUGUAGGCCCCGCUAUCAAAUUGGUUCAUAUUGAGGUCAAAAGGGUCCAAAAUUAAACUUUGUUUGAUUUCAUCAAAAAUUGAAUUAUUGGGGUUCUUUGAUAUGCCAAAUCUAACCGUGUUUUUAGAUUUUUAAUUUGGGUCCCGUUUUUUAAAUUGGUCUUCAUUGAGGUCCAAAGGGUCCAAAAUUAAACUUAGUUUGAUUUUAACAAAAAUUGAAUUCUUGGGGUUCUUUGAUAUGCUGAAUCUAAACAUGUGUUUAGAUUUUUGAUUAUGGGCCCAGUUUUCAAGUUGGUCCAAGUUGGGGUCCAAAAUUAAACUUUGUUUUAUUUCAACAAAAAUUGAAUAUAUGGGGUUCUUUGAUAUGCUGAAUCUAACCAUGAAUUUAGAUUUUUUAUUUGUGGGCCCCGCUAUCAAAUUGGUUCAUAUUGAGGUCAAAAGGGUCCAAAAUUAAACUUUGUUUGAUUUCAUCAAAAAUUGAAUUAUUGGGGUUCUUUGAUAUUCCAAAUCUAACCGUGUAUUUAGAUUUUUAAUUUUAAGUCCCGUUUUUUAAAUUGGUCUACAUUAAGGUCCAAAGGGUCCAAAAUUAAACUUAGUUUGAUUUUAGCAAAAAUUGAAUUCUUGGGGUUCUUUGAUAUGCUGAAUCUAAACAUGUGUUUAGAUUUUUGAUUAUGGGCCCAGUUUUCAAGUUUGUCCAAGUUGGGGUCCAAAAUUAAACUUUGUUUGAUUUUAACAAAAAUUGAAUAUAUGGGGUUCUUUGAUAUGCUGAAUCUAACCAUGUAUUUUGAUUUUGGACAUUGGACCAUAAUAGGUAAAUUAAAAAAAUUCAAGUUCUUAGACCACAUUCUUUCUGUGUCAGAAACCUAUGCUGUGUCAAAUAUUUAAUAACAAUCCAAAUUCAGAGCUGUAUCAAGCUUGAAUGUUGUGUCCAUACUUGCCCCAACUGUUCAGGGUUCGACCUCUGCGGUCGUAUCAAGCUGCGCCCUAGCGAAGCAUUUUAUUUGUUAUUUAAUGUUUAC